RNAcentral lists this ribosomal RNA (229 nucleotides) under uncultured bacterium. RNAcentral describes it as "partial 16S ribosomal RNA". It matches the Rfam family "Bacterial small subunit ribosomal RNA", at positions 568 to 796 of the family's 1533-position model. The record is from RNAcentral.
UCCGUAGGUGGAUAAUUAAGUCAGAGGUGAAAUCCUGCAGCUCAACUGUAGAAUUGCCUUUGAUACUGGUUAUCUUGAGUCAUUAUGAAGUGGUUAGAAUGUGUAGCGUAGCGGUGAAAUGCAUAGAUAUUACACAGAAUACCGAUUGCGAAGGCAGAUCACUAAUAAUGUACUGACACUGAUGGACGAAAGCGUGGGGAGCGAACAGGAUUAGAUACCCUGGUAGUCC